GAAGUGCGAUAAGUGUCAUGACUUGCAGAUCCCCGAGAGCUGACAAAUUUCUGAAUGCAAAUGGCGGCCAACUCACCGUUGGUCAUGUAUUGCAGAGUGUAGUUGUUCAUACUCAUCAUCCUCCUGAAUUCUAUUCUGGAGGGAUCUGCGCUUGUUGGGUUCUCUCCCAUGCGAGCGUGAAACGUCAGAGUGGAUGCCUCUCUAUCUUACCAUAGAGUAGGCUCCAACUUCGGAGUUAUCUUUAGAAGUUCACCAUACUCUGUCUGUGAUCCCACCGGAUCAUAGAGCAUUUCUCCUAUUCACCUCUGCAAUGCAGGAAAACCCGCUGAACUUAA
RNAcentral lists this unclassified non-coding RNA (335 nucleotides) under uncultured fungus. RNAcentral describes it as "sequence contains ITS1". The stretch from base 1 to 102 matches the Rfam family "5.8S ribosomal RNA", at positions 50 to 154 of the family's 154-position model. Lineage: Eukaryota; Fungi. The record is from RNAcentral.